GGGCCCGCACAAGCAGCGGAGCAUGUGGUUUAAUUCGAAGCAACGCGAAGAACCUUACCAGGUCUUGACAUCCAGUAAAGACUGCCGAGAGACAGAGUGCCUUCGGGCAUACUGAGACAGGUGGUGCAUGGUUGUCGUCAGCUCGUGUCGUGAGAUGUUGGGUUAAGUCCCGCAACGAGCGCAACCCUUGCCAAUAGUUACUAACGGGAAAGCCGAGGACUCUAUUGGGACCGCCGGGGACAACUCGGAGGAAGGCGGGGAUGACGUCAAAUCAUCAUGCCCCUUAUGACCUGGGCUACACACGUGCUACAAUGGCCGCUACAAAGAGAAGCGAAAGCGCAAGCUGGAGCAGAUCUCAAAAAAACGGUCUCAGUUCGGAUUGUGGGCUGCAACCCGCCCACAUGAAGUCGGAGUUGCUAGUAAUCGCGGAUCAGCAUGCCGCGGUGAAUACGUUCCCGGGCCUU
This 464-nucleotide ribosomal RNA is filed under the name uncultured bacterium. RNAcentral's name for it is "bacterial SSU rRNA". It matches the Rfam family "Bacterial small subunit ribosomal RNA", at positions 917 to 1382 of the family's 1533-position model. The record is from RNAcentral.